AUGGAUCAACCCCAAUACCCUCUAGGAUCAAACCCAAUACGCCCUAGUGUCCUCUGUCAUGGAUCAACCCCAAUACCCUCUAGGAUCAACCCAACACCCUCUAGGAUCAACCCCAAUACCCUCUAGUGUCCUCUGUCAUGGAUCAACCCCAAUACCCUCUAGGAUCAACCCCAAUUGCCCCUAGGAUCAACCCCAACACCCUCUAGGAUCAACCCCAAUACCCCCUAGUGUCCUCUGUCAUGGAUCAACCCCAAUACCCUCUAGUGUCCUCUGUCAUGGAUCAACCCCAAUACGCCCUAGUGUCCUCUGUCAUGGAUCAACCCCAAUACCCUCUAGGAUCAACCCAACACCCUCUAGGAUCAACCCCAAUACCCUCUAGUGUCCUCUGUCAUGGAUCAACCCCAAUUCCCCCUAGGAUCAACCCCAACACCCUCUAGGAUCAACCCCAACACCCUCUAGGAUCAACCCCAACACCCUCUAGGAUCAACCCCAACACCCUCUAGGAUCAACCCCAACACCCUCUAGGAUCAACCCCAAUACCCUCUAGGAUCAACCCAACACCCUCUAGGAUCAACCCCAAUACCCUCUAGUGUCCUCUGUCAUGGAUCAACCCCAAUACCCUCUAGGAUCAACCCCAAUUGCCCCUAGGAUCAACCCCAACACCCUCUAGGAUCAACCCCAAUACCCCCUAGUGUCCUCUGUCAUGGAUCAACCCCAAUACCCUCUAGUGUCCUCUGUCAUGGAUCAACCCCAAUACCCCCUAGUGUCCUCUGUCAUGGAUCAACCCCAAUACCCUCUAG
This 800-nucleotide long non-coding RNA is filed under the name Oncorhynchus mykiss (rainbow trout). RNAcentral describes it as "lncRNA (ENSOMYG00000052046.1)". Lineage: Eukaryota; Metazoa; Chordata; Actinopteri; Salmoniformes; Salmonidae. The record is from RNAcentral.